UACGUAGGGUGCAAGCGUUGUCCGGAAUUACUGGGCGUAAAGCGUGCGUAGACGGUUAUUUAAGUCGGAUGUGAAAGCCCCGGGCUCAACCUGGGAAUUGCAUUCGAGACUGAAUAGCUAGGGUACGGUAGAGGGAAGCGGAAUUUCCGGUGUAGCGGUGAAAUGCGUAGAUAUCGGAAGGAACAUCAGUGGCGAAAGCGGCUUCCUGGACCAGUACCGACGUUCAGGCACGAAAGCGUGGGGAGCAAACAGG
This 253-nucleotide ribosomal RNA is filed under the name uncultured bacterium. RNAcentral's name for it is "partial 16S ribosomal RNA". It matches the Rfam family "Bacterial small subunit ribosomal RNA", at positions 524 to 776 of the family's 1533-position model. The record is from RNAcentral.